This 253-nucleotide ribosomal RNA is filed under the name uncultured bacterium. RNAcentral describes it as "partial 16S ribosomal RNA". It matches the Rfam family "Bacterial small subunit ribosomal RNA", at positions 524 to 776 of the family's 1533-position model. The record is from RNAcentral.
UACGGGGGGGGCAAGCGUUGUUCGGAAUUACUGGGCGUAAAGGGCUCGUAGGCGGCCAACUCAGUCGGACGUGAAAUCCCUCGGCUUAACCGGGGAACUGCGUCCGAUACUGGAUGGCUUGAGUGUGGGAGAGGGAUGCGGAAUUCCAGGUGUAGCGGUGAAAUGCGUAGAUAUCGUAAGGAAGACCAGUGGCGAAGGCGGGUCUCUGGACAGUUCCUGACGCUGAGGCACGAAGGCCAGGGGAGCAAACGGG